GUGCCAGCCGCUGCGGUAAGACGAACCGUGCGAACGUUAUUCGGAAUCACUGGGCUUAAAGCGCGUGUAGGCGGGUCCGCACGUCUUUCGCUGAAAUCCCCCGGCUUAACCGGGGAACGGGCGGGGAUACGGCGGACCUGGAGGGGCGUAGGGGACCUGGAACUUCCGGUGGAGCGGUGAAAUGCGUUGAGAUCGGAAGGAACGCCCGUGGCGAAAGCGAGGUCCUGGACGCCUACUGACGCUGAGACGCGAAAGCCAGGGAGCGAACGGGAUUAGAGUACCCGGUAGUCCUGGCCGUAAACGAUGGGCAC
Molecule: ribosomal RNA, 311 nt
Filed under: uncultured Singulisphaera sp.
Lineage: Bacteria; Pseudomonadati; Planctomycetota; Planctomycetia; Isosphaerales; Isosphaeraceae
Description: bacterial SSU rRNA
Rfam family: Bacterial small subunit ribosomal RNA
Source: RNAcentral